GCUGGGCGUGGUGGCACACAACUGUAAUCCCAGCAGCUCAGGAGGCUGAGGCAGGAGGAUUGCGAGUUCAAAGCCAGCCUCAGCAACUGUGAGGUGCUAAGCAACUCAGUGAGACCCUGUCUCUA
This 125-nucleotide small RNA is filed under the name Marmota monax (woodchuck). The record is from RNAcentral. Lineage: Eukaryota; Metazoa; Chordata; Mammalia; Rodentia; Sciuridae.